RNAcentral lists this unclassified non-coding RNA (327 nucleotides) under soil metagenome. RNAcentral describes it as "partial contains 5.8S ribosomal RNA, internal transcribed spacer 2, and large subunit ribosomal RNA". The stretch from base 1 to 120 matches the Rfam family "5.8S ribosomal RNA", at positions 35 to 154 of the family's 154-position model. The record is from RNAcentral.
GAUGAAGAACGUAGCGAAAUGCGAUAAGUAGUGUGAAUUGCAGAAUUCAGUGAAUCAUCGAAUCUUUGAACGCACAUUGCGCCCCUUGGUAUCCCGAGGGGCAUGCCUGUUCGAGCGUCAUUUCACCACUCAAGCCUGGCUUGGUGUUGGGCGACGUCCCCUUUGGGGACGCGCCUCGAAACGCUCGGCGGCGUGGCACCGGCUUUAAGCGUAGCAGAAUCUUUCGCUUUGGAAGUCGGGGCCCCGUCUGCCGGAAGACCUACUCGCAAGGUUGACCUCGGAUCAGGCAGGGAUACCCGCUGAACUUAAGCAUAUCAAUAAGCGGAG